UCCCCGCCCUUCCUACGCUCCCCGAGGCCCGCCUCUUUCCACUGACCCCGGCCAAUCUGCAGAGGGCGAGGAUGACAGGCACCUACAGCAGCCAAUCGGAGGACAUAGGCCGGGUCGGGCGCGGCCCGGUGAACCGGAUUCAGAGCCUGAGGCUGCCUUCCAGAGCUCGUGCGCCUGUUACCAUAUGCUUUGUAUUCUCCCAAAUUCUAUCAUUACCAUGUGCUUGAUAAUCUCCCGAGCUCCACUUCGUGUCACCUUUCGUUCUUUCUGGGCAGAGCAUUCCCUUCCCGGAGGAGAGAACUUCUGCACCUUCAAGAAUCAACGAAAGCAUCACCUCCUCUGUGAAGCCUUCUCUGAUUCUUCCAGGCAAACUUAAGUUCUCCUUCGUCUGUUCACUCGGCCCUUGAUCCCUUUUAUUCUUACGUAGUAUCAUUGUUGGUUUGCUAGUCUGUUUUCCCCAGACCGUGACCUCCUUGGGAUCAGAGUGAACAGACGAUUCAGUUUCACCGAGAGCUUGAUAAUAAAAAUUAGAGGAUACACAGAGAAGAAGGGGAAAGUUAGGCGCAUGAUUAUGAGUUCAGAGGAGAAAUUUGGACAGAUAUGCACAGAAAGAAGACAAUGUGAAGAUGUGAUGGCAGAGGCAGAUAUUGGACUCAUGCAUCUGCAAGCCAAGGAAUGCCAAAGAUAGAUGGCCACCACCAGAAGCUAGGAAGAGGCAAGAAAGAAGUUUCAAUGGAAACAGGACACUGCUAGUACCUUGAUUUUGGACUUCAAACCCCCAGAU
This is a long non-coding RNA of Vicugna pacos (alpaca), 784 nucleotides long. RefSeq lists it as uncharacterized. Lineage: Eukaryota; Metazoa; Chordata; Mammalia; Artiodactyla; Camelidae. The record is from RefSeq and is a predicted model, not a curated record.